This 403-nucleotide ribosomal RNA is filed under the name uncultured bacterium. Its description in RNAcentral is "partial 16S ribosomal RNA". It matches the Rfam family "Bacterial small subunit ribosomal RNA", at positions 28 to 526 of the family's 1533-position model. The record is from RNAcentral.
GACGAACGCUGGCGGCGUGCCUAAUACAUGCAAGUCGAACGCAGUGGGGACGGGUGAGUAACACGUGGGUAACCUCCCAUCAGAGGGGAUAACACUUGGAUACAGGUGCUAAACCGAUACUGAUGGAUGGACCCGCGGUGCAUUAGCUAGUUGGUGAGGUAACGGCUCACCAAGGACACGCUGCAUAGCCGACCUGCGAGGGGUAUCGGGCCCCCUGGGACUGAGACACGGCCCAGAUUCCGACGGUAGGCAGCAGGAGGGAAUCUUCGGCAAUGGACGAAAGUCUGACCGCGCAACGCCGCGUUAGUGAAGAAGGUUUUCGGAUCGUAAAACUCUGUUGUUAGAGAAGCGGUAUCUAACCAGAAAGCCACGGCUAACUACGUGCCAGCCGCCGCGGUAAUAC